Molecule: long non-coding RNA, 600 nt
Filed under: Setaria italica (foxtail millet)
Lineage: Eukaryota; Viridiplantae; Streptophyta; Magnoliopsida; Poales; Poaceae
Description: long non-coding RNA (SITA_LNC000429)
Source: RNAcentral
GCUCUCCAUGUCUCCGGCGGCCGGGACGGCGAAGCGGAGGCGAGGUCGGUCGGUUCGUGGAGCUACCGGCGGAAGAGACCGUGGUAGAUCAGCGGGCCGAGAGACGAUCCGGCCAACGCCAACGAGCUAUCCAUGUCGCCGACGGCCGGAACGGCGAAGCGGAGGUGGUGGAGCUUCGUCCGACGGCAUGCCUCCACACCGCGCUGCCCGCCGCGUGCCCUCAAGAACCUAGUGUAGCGGUACAGCACGACAAUCUCCUUGCUUCCUUCGUCCCCGUCGGCGGCCUCCGCCGCAGCACGCAUGAAGGGCGACGGCGGCAAACCGGGCGGCCCAAGGAACUCUCCGUUCGGCACAGUGCUGCUGGUUUGGUCGCUAAACUUGAUGUUUAACUCUUGUAAUUGUUGGUCAACCGCGGCUCCUCCUCCACAUCACUGAAAUACGGGAAUUACAUUUUCUCUUUUACCAGAUGGAGGAGAAGCAAAAGUUGUUGUGUUAUGUGUACAGAUAACCUGAAGUUUUGGGAAAGGAAUUUUAAACAUGUGCUUUGGUAUUACAAUGGCAGGCUGCAGGCAUGUGGUCUUAUGAAAUAUUAUAAAUUCU